CUCAACUGUCCUCGAGUGAGGUAGAGAGGUGUUAUUGCGUCACCACGACAACAUCAGUUUGACUUGAC
This 68-nucleotide microRNA precursor is filed under the name Bombyx mori (domestic silkworm). Its description in RNAcentral is "mir-2816 microRNA precursor family". It matches the Rfam family "mir-2816 microRNA precursor family". Lineage: Eukaryota; Metazoa; Arthropoda; Insecta; Lepidoptera; Bombycidae. The record is from Rfam by way of RNAcentral.